Salvia miltiorrhiza (redroot sage) is the source of this 166-nucleotide long non-coding RNA. RefSeq lists it as uncharacterized. The record is from RefSeq and is a predicted model, not a curated record. The transcript has 2 exons. Lineage: Eukaryota; Viridiplantae; Streptophyta; Magnoliopsida; Lamiales; Lamiaceae.
CUUGAAGCAAAUCCUUUCAACUCCUUGUUCAGCCUACAACCAUUAGGAAGAGCAAUAUACAAUUCAAUUUCAGAUUUUUCCCAGCGAAUCCCUCAGCUCAACCCAGUUCAAACACAUUACAAGGUUGAGCAGUGGUUGAUGAAGAUGAAGUGACGAGCAGAGCUUU